GCUGGAAUCGCUAGUAAUCGCGGAUCAGAAUGCCGCGGUGAAUACGUUCCCGGGUCUUGUACACACCGCCCGUCACACCAUGGGAGUCGGAAAUGCCCGAAGUCUGUGACCCAACCUCAGGGAGGGAGCAGCCGAAGGCAGGUCGAAUGACUGGGGUGAAGUCGUAACAAGGUAUC
This 176-nucleotide ribosomal RNA is filed under the name uncultured bacterium. RNAcentral describes it as "partial 16S ribosomal RNA". It matches the Rfam family "Bacterial small subunit ribosomal RNA", at positions 1325 to 1500 of the family's 1533-position model. The record is from RNAcentral.